GGCAGCACGGGUACUUGUACCUGGUGGCGAGCGGCGGACGGGUGAGUAAUGCCUAGGAAUCUGCCUGGUAGUGGGGGAUAACGCUCGGAAACGGACGCUAAUACCGCAUACGUCCUACGGGAGAAAGCAGGGGACCUUCGGGCCUUGCGCUAUCAGAUGAGCCUAGGUCGGAUUAGCUAGUUGGUGGGGUAAUGGCUCACCAAGGCGACGAUCCGUAACUGGUCUGAGAGGAUGAUCAGUCAUACUGGAACUGAGACACGGUCCAGACUCCUACGGGAGGCAGCAGUGGGGAAUAUUGGACAAUGGGCGAAAGCCUGAUCCAGCCAUGCCGCGUGUGUGAAGAAGGUCUUCGGAUUGUAAAGCACUUUAAGUUGGGAGGAAGGGCAGUUACCUAAUACGUAUCUGUUUUGACGUUACCGACAGAAUAAGCACCGGCUAACUCUGUGCCAGCAGCCGCGGUAAUACAGAGGGUGCAAGCGUUAAUCGGAAUUACUGGGCGUAAAGCGCGCGUAGGUGGUUUGUUAAGUUGAAUGUGAAAUCCCCGGGCUCAACCUGGGAACUGCAUGCAAAACUGGCAAGCUAGAGUAUGGUAGAGGGUGGUGGAAUUUCCUGUGUAGCGGUGAAAUGCGUAGAUAUAGGAAGGAACACCAGUGGCGAAGGCGACCACCUGGACUGAUACUGACACUGAGGUGCGAAAGCGUGGGGAGCA
This 709-nucleotide ribosomal RNA is filed under the name uncultured Pseudomonadales bacterium. RNAcentral describes it as "bacterial SSU rRNA". It matches the Rfam family "Bacterial small subunit ribosomal RNA", at positions 65 to 770 of the family's 1533-position model. Lineage: Bacteria; Pseudomonadati; Pseudomonadota; Gammaproteobacteria; Pseudomonadales. The record is from RNAcentral.